AACGUAGGAGGCGAGCGUUAUCCGGAUUUACUGGGCGUAAAGCGCGUGCAGGCGGUUUGGUAAGUCGGACGUUAAACCUCCCGGCUCAACUGGGAGAGGCCGUUCGAAACUACCAGACUUGAGUGCAGUAGAGGGAGAUGGAAUUCCGGGUGUAGCGGUGAAAUGCGUAGAUAUCCGGAGGAACACCAGUGGCGAAGGCGGUCUCCUGGACUGACCCUGACGCUCAGACGCGAAAGCUAGGGGAGCGAACGGGAUUAGACACCCCGGUAGUCCUAGCUGUAAACGAUGCACACUUGGUGUUGGUUGUUUAAACACAAUCAGUGCCGUAGCUAACGCGAUAAGUGUGCCGCCUGGGGAUUACGACCGCAAGGUUAAA
This 376-nucleotide ribosomal RNA is filed under the name uncultured bacterium. RNAcentral describes it as "bacterial SSU rRNA". It matches the Rfam family "Bacterial small subunit ribosomal RNA", at positions 524 to 898 of the family's 1533-position model. The record is from RNAcentral.